GGGGAUUCCAUUAAUCUGACCCAGGCUCCAGGGUAGGUGUCUCAUUGAGGGGAUUCCAUUAAUCUGACCCAGGCUCCAGGGUAGGUGUCUCAUUGAGGGGAUUCCAUUAAUCUGACCCAGGCUCCAGGGUAGGUGUCUCAUUGAGGGGAUUCCAUUAAUCUGACCCAGGCUCCAGGGUAGGUGUCUCAUUGAGGGGAUUCCAUUAAUCUGACCCGGUCUCCAGGGUAGGUGUGUUUUGCACCGGGUGAAAGUGAAUUGCAUUAGUUUAGGAACCGGGCUGCUUCCCGGGUGUGAACCAGGUUCCCCGUUCAAAGCCCAGGACGAAGUCGGCUCAAAACAUAAGUGCCGAAAUUAAACACGUGGAGUGAUGAGUAGGAUUGUGUGUUAAGGGUCGACGGCAGAGGUGUGGUAUUGGUUAAGGGUCGACGGCGGAGGUGUGGUAUUGGUUAAGGGUCGACGGCGGAGGUGUGGUAUUGGUUAAGGGUCGACGUCGGAGGUGUGGUAUUGGUUAAGGGUCGACGGCGGAGGUGUGGUAUUGGUUAAGGGUCGACGGCAGAGGUGUGGUAUUGGUUAAGGGUCGACGGCAGAGGUGUGGUAUUGGUUAAAUACAUUGAACUAAAGUGCUAAAGAACACCAACAUAUAAAGUGCUGGUCCCAUGUUUCAUGAACUGAAAUAAGAACAUCUCAGACAUUUUCCAUACGCACAAAAAGCUUUAUUUUAUCACAAAUGUGUUUAUAUCCCUGUUAGUGAGCAUUUAUCCUGUGCCCAGAUAAUCCAUCCACCUGACAGGUGUGGCAAAUCAAGAAGCUGAUUAAACAGCAUGGCCAUCACACCAGUGCAUCUGGUGCAGUUGACAUUAAAAAGGCCACUAAAAUGUGCAGUUUUGUCACACAACAGAUGUCUCAAGUUGAAGGAGUGUGCAGUAAUGUCAACCAGAGGUGUUGAUGUUCAUUAUUCUACCAUAAACCGCCUCCUAUGUCGUUACAGAUAAUUUAGCAGUAUAUUUAGUCGUCUUAUGGCUUGGAUGUAGAAGCUGGGGAGGGGGGGGGGGGUCACUCGGUUUACCGACCUUCACCUCGGUGAUCAGAUGACCGAAGCUCGUGAGCGGGAUCCGUGUCUUUACCGGGGAAGUUGGCAUGGCUGAGGAAACGGUUCACAACAAGAUAACAUUAUUGGCUG
This 1180-nucleotide long non-coding RNA is filed under the name Salmo salar (Atlantic salmon). RNAcentral's name for it is "lncRNA (ENSSSAG00000087008.1)". The record is from RNAcentral. Lineage: Eukaryota; Metazoa; Chordata; Actinopteri; Salmoniformes; Salmonidae.